CCUACGGGAGGCAGCAGUAGGGAAUCUUCCACAAUGGACGCAAGUCUGAUGGAGCAACGCCGCGUGAGUGAAGAAGGUUUUCGGAUCGUAAAGCUCUGUUGUUGGUGAAGAAGGAUAGAGGUAGUAACUGGCCUUUAUUUGACGGUAAUCAACCAGAAAGUCACGGCUAACUACGUGCCAGCAGCCGCGGUAAUACGAAGG
RNAcentral lists this ribosomal RNA (201 nucleotides) under uncultured bacterium. RNAcentral describes it as "partial 16S ribosomal RNA". It matches the Rfam family "Bacterial small subunit ribosomal RNA", at positions 338 to 531 of the family's 1533-position model. The record is from RNAcentral.